AACGAGACCUUAACCUGCUAAAUAGUCCGGCCGGCUUUUGCUGGUCGCAGACUUCUUAGAGGGACUGUCAGCGUCUAGCUGACGGAAGUUUGAGGCAAUAACAGGUCUGUGAUGCCCUUAGAUGUUCUGGGCCGCACGCGCGCUACACUGACAGAGCCAGCGAGUUCUCACCUUGGCCGGAA
Molecule: ribosomal RNA, 182 nt
Filed under: Ceratorhiza hydrophila
Lineage: Eukaryota; Fungi; Basidiomycota; Agaricomycetes; Cantharellales; Ceratobasidiaceae
Description: partial small subunit ribosomal RNA
Rfam family: Eukaryotic small subunit ribosomal RNA
Source: RNAcentral